Long non-coding RNA from Cebus imitator (Panamanian white-faced capuchin), 2408 nucleotides. RefSeq lists it as uncharacterized. The record is from RefSeq and is a predicted model, not a curated record. The transcript is spliced from 2 exons. Lineage: Eukaryota; Metazoa; Chordata; Mammalia; Primates; Cebidae.
UUUCACCACGUUGGCCAGGCUGGUUUCGAACUCCCGACCUCGGGUGAUCCACCCGCCUCAGCUUCCCAAAGUGCCAAGAUUACAGGCAUGAGCCACCAUGCCUGGCCACUAUUUAUUGUUCUUCUCUUGCAGCAAUGCUGAAUCCAGUCUGCUCCCACCUAUAGUUUCCAUGAUGGAAGAAUUAGAGACUUAAACACAGAAAUGAAUUACCUCUGUUAACCCUAACCCCAGAACACUGAGGCCACAGGAAAUACAACCGCAGUGACCUGGACUUCUGCGUGAGUCAUGAUCAGUACAUAUUAGGUCACAGCUAGUCAACGCUUUAUCACAUGGUGGUGACAUUUCAGUUUCAUAUGAGAGGGCUCUCAGUGAAGUGCGUGCACUAAAAAUGUCAUGCUGGAAAACACCCGUGAUCUAUCUAAAACAUUGUUUCAGUGCCCUCUUAUUUUUUGUUUUACUUUUUUUAAAUCCCAGAGAGCAAUACCAUGGAAUAUUUCAUUAGACCUUUUUACUCAAGAUCCAUGUUAAAAAGUUGAGGCUGUACCUCCAAUAUCUUUUAUUUUCCUUAGUAACUUGUUAUGCGACCCCACUGCCUGUGAAUAUAUCCAAAGAUUAUUCUGUGUUUUAAUCUGAACUCACUUUGAAGCUAUUUAUAUGUUUGGCAUGGUAACGCAAUGGAGAUAAUAAAUUCCAUGCAGGUCUGACUCAGCUUUGAAAGCAGUUUUCUUAGUGACACCUUCCUCAGGAUUCCCUGAGCUAACAUUAUGGGAUCUGGUAAAUAUGCAAUGCAUUAGAAACGUACUGGGGGAAAUGCUCUUCAAAGCAUUGCCCUAGACGAAGCACCAUGUAGGCAUUUAGAAGCAAGAAAUAGUGAAAUCAGAAAAUGCUGUCAUACCUACUCACCACUGAACGGUCGUACGAAGGAUCCCCAAGCGCAGGCUGGACUCGUCCUGGAAGCAGAGGAUUGGAUUCCAUCAGGAGAAGAGGCAAGUAGAAAUGCCAAAUGCCAGCGUUCCCUCCGCCAGCUCAUCUUAUUUAGCAGACACACAGAUUUUGGAAUCCUCCAGGACUAACAAUAAAAACCACACUAGGUUGUUUUCCUAAUUCCUAUGAAAUGAGUCAGUAGGUCAAACAUCUUAUCCACUCCGGACAGAGAACAGUUCCUUGAGCUCCACUCCCUGUUUCCAGUAACCCUAUUCCCUGUCUGGGCCCCUGGAUAACAGUGCUGCCAAUAAUGCAUGGAGACCUCACCGGGCUCUGAGAGAGCCACGUGGAGAUCGACAGAAAGUUAGCUGCCUUCACGGGAUAGUUUCCCUUAUGAAUAUUUAGGAAGAAAAAAGUCCACUUAAGAGUAACAUGAGGAUCAAGUUUCUUCAUUUAAAGAGUCAGCAUAACUUUUUCUCUGUUGAGACUAUUUCUUUCUUUCAUACAGGAGGACCUGAAUGAUGCUGAAAAUAAAUAUAGAAAAUAUAGUAACUGUACCUUUAAAAGCCCCACAAACCACUUCCUUCUGUAAAACACCCUUUCCUCCUCCAAAGGUCUAGUAUAUUCAAAAGAUUCACUGAUUAUUCGAAGAAUUCAUAUUCUUAAAAACCCUUCACAGCUGUCUGAGUCCUGCAGUUCCAUGCUCUGUAUCAUAUAAAGCAGAAGUGUUUAAGAGCUUGCUAGCCAUCCUUUAAAUCCAUGACUCAAGACGACCAACACUGGGUUACCAAUAACCUUCAGAAACUACCACCUACUCACCGAGUGUAACCGUUCUUGUAGUUAGCGACCUUUGCAUAGGAAAUCACCAGCUCCUGGCAAUGAAUCCAUACUUCCAAGAACUCACGAAUUCAGGCAAAUAUAUGGACAUACAUCUCUAAAUAGAGAUACAGAGGUCUGCUGUGACAGUUCAGUAGGAGACUGGAAAUACUUUUGCUUUCUGUAUCGACAGUACUUUCUUUCCUUUUUAAAGAGAAGGUUUCGUUUUGAUCUUGAGAAAUUCUGAUAAAACCACCAACUGAAAACCUGCCAUUGUAAAGGAGGGAUUUCACAACGUUCAUUCCAAAAAACUGUGGCUAUUCAUUUGUGGAAGUGAUUCACUGCAAAAGAAUCGCUGUUUGGGGGUGGAGGGAGCGUUGAUUUUUAGAAGCCAGCCUGCCCUCUGGAAAGUGAGCAGGAACCUCCGAGAUGGCAGCCACGUGCCUUCUGACCCCCAGCCCUGCUCCCUGAAUCACCACCACUUGAGAUGACAUGCAGUGACCAAUUUCCUCUUAAAACUCCCCUCUGUAUACAAAAACCCUAUGAUCCAUGCACCCUGCGUCUAAUCCUCUGCGAUGGGGCCAGUCUGCAGAUCCGUCUGGGCGGGCUGCAGUAGCAUUCUCCACCUGCCAACACUCAGUUGCUGGUGAGUAACCAGCAUACGGACA